Molecule: long non-coding RNA, 6231 nt
Organism: Monomorium pharaonis (pharaoh ant)
Lineage: Eukaryota; Metazoa; Arthropoda; Insecta; Hymenoptera; Formicidae
Exons: 2
Source: RefSeq, a predicted model, not a curated record
AGAUCGCGACCUGCGACGUCACGCCCUGCCACGUCACGUCCCGCCGCCCGCCCCGCGCUUACUUACUAUCGCGACGAGCGUGCUAUGGUGAGUACGGUGACUAUUAGUCGUCAUUCGAGCGACGUGGCUGGUUGCGUCCUUGCGUCUCGGAGGCGAGAGUUAAACCGUUCUAUGCUAUUACCCCUCGCAACGAGUAUUACCGAGCGCGAUGCACGGCUCCGCACGGACGAUUAGAGAUUGCCAACGCUUAUACGUACGUAGUGCUCGCUCUAUGAGAGAAUCUAUCGUCGUCGGAGGUAAACGUAUCUCUCUCUCUCUCCCUCUCGAACGCGUUACCAAAGGGAAACGUCUCUCGUGCUCACCUCACUCCAGAAGGAACUUCUAAAGGCCGUAUCACGUAACUUGCGAAGUCGUAUCAUGUUCCUCCUACACCCUCUCGUCAUCGGCUCAGGCGGAAACGGACGGAAAGGAAGUGAAAGAGAGGCGACCGCGCCGCGCUUUGCCCGUGGCGAAUAAAUUAACUACGUUGCAAAUGUGCCGAGUCACUCGCGUCGCGGACGACGGUUGUUUGUCGAGCAGAUAUAUAUAUUUUACUUGCAUCGGUUUGCUCUCGUUUGACCGUUUGCUCGGAAACCACCGACGCGGAGCCGACAGCGGGCUAUAUAAUUAUCGCAUUAUUUCACUUUGAUAUUUACGCGCGAGAAUUGUUUCUUCGAUGAUCGGAUGUGUCUCGCGCGUUAACGCUUUCGCCGGGCUCGUCGAUUCAAUGUAAUUCGCCGUGCACCUUUGAACGCGAGAGCCGCGGGCUAAUGUGCUCAUAUUUCAGUGUUUCAGUCGCGAGAGAAAAACUGCGAUACGCCGUUUAUUAAUAACACACGCGUAUCACGGGGUAAAAUCCGUUCGGGGUAAUAUCGCGCGCUAAUUUUGCUUGCACAUUUAUCGCGCCUUGAGCAUCUUAAUCGAUCCCCGGGAGCCACUUUGAUCAAUUCCGAUUAAUUUUGAUCGACGAUUAAUACCGUAGGUACACGUGGUUAGACGAUUUGUGUUAUAUUUAAACAUAUAUAUCGCGUAUCUCGGGUUUUAACAUAAAUGCAAAAUAUUUUCUACCGUACGUACCUUGCCGGACAAUGGACUCGUCCACUCGGUGCCCCUCGCGUGAUAAGAAGGACGUACACUUAUCGAUCUAGCGAUUACUUCGCGAUCGAUAAUCGGGGUCGAUAAAUAUCCCCGGUCAGCCGCUGCCAGUUGAUGGCGCCAGGGCUACUUUUUUACGUUCCUCUUACCCCGCGAGGGGUGCCAAGGAACGAAUCGUCGUCGGGCGGUGUACAGUGUUGUUGGCACAACUUGCAAACCAUAAAAUAUAUCCGAUAUUAUGGAAUGAUACCACAAGACGGCGUCAAAACAAACCGUUCUAAUUUCUUUUUGCUGGCAACUUCGUCGCGGCUGAUUAAAGGUAAUCGGGAUCUAUCGAAGUUAAUUCGGUUUCGUCAGUAGCCUCCACCUUCCACGGAUCGCGGGAUAUCGGAGUGAAGCUUGCAGAGCGCUCGUCCUCCGUUUGUCCGAUUAUCAAGUGUCGAUACGACUCGCGUGGCGUCGUCGCGACGAUAAGCUGCACGCUCGUAAAUCGCAAUAAACGCUGUGUUUUAAGCUUCGUGUGUGCGCGGUCUUUCUCCUCUCUCGUAUUAUAGUCUUCCGUCGUAAAGUGAUAAAGUGCACGUCGCGUGCGAUUAAUGUCGGGAGUGCCGUGUAAAGUACACGUGGCGAUCGUUGUAUACUGCCGAUUAGUGCGCGCGCGUAAUUAACCUUAUUUUCGUGAGUGUUGUGCGACUACCGGGAGGAAGUAGCAAUGGGGGAACCUGUAAACUUGAGAAGAGGCGGAGGCCUGGCAGGCAUCGGGCGACGGCGGAGCAACUUUGAGAUUGAGAUGCAGUUACAACUCCGCUGCUGCGCAUCGUAUUGGUCAGUCACAUAUCUUCUAUUUUAAACUACAAUUCCAAAUUUAUUAUCGAAAUUAUUGAAAAAAAAGAGAGAAGAGUAGGAAUAGUAGGAAUAGUAGAAAUAAUUUUUAUAACAUAUCUACGUUAAAUUUAUUUUAUAAAAGCAUUUUAUGAUAAAAAAGCAAAAAUGAUAAGAAGUAACAAGGCAAAAUAGAGGGUAGGUUCUUUGUAAUAUAUACGUAUAUAUACACAAUAUGUUGAGUGUCUAUGUAUUAUAUCUUUGCCGAUAUUCUUAUCCAUAUUAUCGCUCAGCAAUUUUACUUUAGAUAUCUGUAGUUGUUUAAAAAUCUUUAAGACAUUUAGAUCGGUAAAAUUCGGGAAGCAAGAACAGAUCGUUUUGUAUGGCUGGUAAGAAGUACGACAAUGACACCAAGGCAUCCUCACGUCUUUUUGCUCGUUCUGUUCUCCGUAGCUUUUUUCUUUCAAUCUCUUACUCGCCAUCGCCAGCAGUUUUGUUCCCUUUGGCUCCUUCAACUAUCGGUAGUGUAUUCAUCUUCCAACUCAUUCCUUUCUGUUCUCUCUUUUUUUUCGUUGCUACAGAUAUGUUAAUCACGUCGACCGGCCGUUAUUCUCGCCGGAAUUAAGACCGUUUCUGAUUCUAUAUAAUGCGUUUCGACUACAAAAGAACUCAUAUAAUCCAGGUCAUCUUUGUCGAUUAUUUAAUGGGAGAAAUAUGCAAGAAGCGCGUAUAUUUUCAUAAUAUUCAUCACAGCUUUGGUAUUUUGCAAUUAUUUUGAAUUUUUUAUUAUCCAAAUUAAUAUUGUACAUUAGAUUCGACUAAUCGAAUAAUAUUAAUACAAUGUAUAUUUUCUAUUAUUUGUUAUUUUAUAUUUUUGCAAUUUAUUAAUGAAAUUAUAGUUUACUUAUAGUUUAUAUUAUUUAUCAUAUUAUAAUACACAAAAAGAAAUACGUAUUCACAAGAAAAGCUAUAACGUGCGAUUACUGAUUCUUCUUAUGAUAUUUUAACAAUUUUAAAAAAUUUAUUUUAAGAAUUUAUUUUAAAUUUCUAAAGAUUAUUCUGUAUAAGAAAUAAUUUUAAUAUGCAAUAGAGUUAAUUUUUUGUAAAUUGAUGAGAUAGAUUUCUGUAAUGGUGUAUGUAAAUGCAAGUUUUAAUCUGGUUAAUGCUUUACUCAGUAAUACCUUACGCAAUUUACUUAAUUAAGUGAAACUUGCAAGACUUUUGUGAUUUACAAACAUACGAAACGCAAAAAUAUAAGCAUAAGAUUAAUAAUUUUGCUAUUUCUUAUAAAAUAUUAAUAUUCUUUAAAAAUGUAUAUUAUAUUAUUUUCAAGAAUUGUACUUAUUAUUUAUACUUUAUUUUAUAACUCAAUGUUACACGAUUAAUUUAACAAUGUUGUAUUCUAUAUUUAAAGAAAACGAUACACGAUACACGAUUCUAUUUUGCGUUGUGGAAAACGUUAGUUGAAACGUUGGACAGAUAAAUGUCUCGGUCCGGUUCUUUAAUCCUUCCGUGUUCAUCUGUCUAAUGGACGCCAUCGCAUUGAGGAGAAAUAAAUUACGCGUCGCAUAAGUACAAUUCUAAAUCAUUAUAUCUUCUUUUCUGCGUCAUCAUCUCUCAGCCUUAAUGGUUGCCCACUUAGCAUUACGCGUGCUUGUGUCAGAAUUUCGUACCGUGAAUCCGGGGAAAUUUGGAGAAACAUGAAACAGGUCGACGUCUAGAAGGGCGACGACAACGACGUCGAGGGUUCUCUUCUAUUCUUCCUUUUCCACCUUCUCUCACUUUCUCUUUUCCGCGUUCUCCUGCCAUUCUCUUUCCGCCCGUUUUCUUUUCCGGUCUCUUUCACCUCCAAUUCUCUUCGUCUUUCAUUUUUCGUCACCGGCACUACUCGUUCACCCCGCGAUGGUUCGCAACGGAUAAUAAGCUCUUCUCAGGGGUCGUCCGACUUUCCGCGGGCGUGCCUGUAGCAGAAAUAAGACACGACUUCUUCGUACCGUGGGGCAAUUGCUUUUACUUCUAGCCUCCCACGAGAAUUCCGCGAGUCUCUCCGUGGCUCUUUGCCAGCCCGUGUGAGCGAGCUCAGGCGUAUUCGCUUUGCACGUAUACAGCCGCGAAUUCGCGACGGCAGUGUGGAUGUAAUAAGCGCAGUAUAAAUGAAAUCUCAUCGUCGAAGUUAGAUUUAAAACAUGAACAUGUCGAAUUCUGUUCCCGAUAGACCUUUCACUUAUCGAAUAUAUUGUUUUGCCGUUUUGAAAACAUAAAGCUUUCGAUGCCGCGGGAGAGAAAUGUGUUAUGUAAUGUGAGAGAUUUGACUAAAUCUGAAAUACAUUGACUAUUUCAUCUGGAAUUAUAUCUGGGUUAUAUCUAGAAGAAGCAUAUCUGGAAGAAAUGAGCUUUUGUAACUUAAAAGGGGUAAGAAUUGAAGAUUAAUAUAGAACGGAAAACUUUUAUUUCUUUAUAUUAAAUUUCUUCAUUCUUGUUUAAAAGCACGAUUUUGUAAUGAGAAUUUACUUUUUGUACAAUUUUUAAUUUGGCUUUCUAAUUAUGAUUAUGCAAAUUACACUAAGUAAUUUGCAAGGUUUUAUGCAAGAGCAUAUGAAGAGACUGUUUCUGAGGGUAAUUUUCGACGCUGAAUUUACAUUAAAUCAGCUUUUUGAGACAUAAGACAUUUUGUGUAUAUAUAUAUAUAUAUAUAUAGUAAAGUUUGAAUAAAAUUAGAAAACAAAUCAGAAACGUUGAGCAUUUAAUUUGCGUUUGUUAUAUAAAAAAGUAAUAUAAAUUUCAGCGAUUCUGUGAUUAUACGGCCCUUCUUUCUAAUAACGCAAUUACACAAAUAGUAGAAAUAGUUUGAACUAGUUUUACAUUAUCUUUUAUCUUUUUAUGCUUUAAUAUAAAUUAAACAACAGCUCUGCGCGAUAAUUUUGUAAUUAAAUGACGAUACAUUCGCAAUGUUCUAUAUUUUAAAAUAUCUAGAAUUUUUGGGGGGGGGGCAGAUUUGAAUUUUUUGGCUUCAAAAUACGGUAAAAAGGGUUGUUGCCUUUUCUUGCACGAAAAUUCAGGUAAAAAUUUGUAAACCAAUGUUAUUAUUCGCAAAUGCAAAGAUUGCGCUGUUCGUGCGUUUCCCCUAUUUCGAUCUCCUGUUUUCUCACGCGAUUUCUCAUCUAUAUGAUUAUGACUACAAGCCGGAGGGGACUGCGUUAUCUCCGACAAAAGGAAACCAUCUUGGUAUCUACAUUCUCGGGAUUGCGUCUUGCAUGAGUUUGGCCGUUUUUCGGGCCGUUUCAGAUUCGCAACUCAGAUCGAGUUGCCUUACAUGACAAUGUUACAUGACAAUCCUACGACAAUACUCUAGUCUCUAAGGACACGCUUGCGACAUCCAUAUGAACUUUGAACUUCUCUUAGUGCAACGACGCCUGGGCAUAACCCGGAAUCGAUCGUCGAAAGAACACCGACCCAAUUCGCUUCGUUGACGCUCCCCUGUAAGCAGCUCUAGCGGACGUCGUCUUGGGAAAUGGGCCUCUUUCGCAAGACGAGAUACUUUUGCGGUCGAUUCCUAUUCCGGCACAUGAACAGAUAGGGUGGGACGGUAUGUCCGCCGUGGUAUCGCAUUUUCUUUCCUUCUUCCCUAUUUUUUUCCGAUAGCUUUCUUUAAAAUGCUCGUUAUACUGUGAAAAGGAUCGUACUUAUGUAGAUCGCUCUGUGGAGUAAUAAGACGCUUAUCACCCUUGUCAUUCAGAAUAGGAAAAGUGUUUUGAAGAAGGCAAUACCAAGAGCUAGCUACAACUGAUAUUUGCGAUUUUUAUAAUAAUUCACAUUGAGUAUAAAAUUGAUAGUUGUCACAUAGAUAGGCAAAAACUCGGGAAUUGAAAAUUGAUCAAAUGUGAUGAAGUGAAAAGUGAAGUUUAAAUAUUGAAUUUUGGAAUAAAAUUAAGCAAUCGUAAAAAAUCUUAAAUCAAAUUUGUUGAUUGUUAAUUGAGUAGUUGUUGAUUAUUGUUCACUAAUUGAUUGCUAGAUUUCAAGAUUUUCCAUUGUAUUUAAUUUCUAAUCGCAUGAUGAAUAGUUUAGAUGACGGAAAAAAACAGAGGAGAUAAUGAUUUUCACGUUAUAGUACAAAAUCAUUACUCUCUUAUACGAGACGCUGCUUAUAUAUCAGUGUAUGCUGCUCGGUUCUGAAACAUUUGUGCUCCUUUUAGUAGGACACGAUGAUAACCAACAUUUGACUCGUUGAAUAUUUCCGUCACGUGCACCGCGAAUAACACGUCCGGCACCGUCCAA